This 24-nucleotide ribosomal RNA is filed under the name Perkinsus marinus. RNAcentral describes it as "partial large subunit ribosomal RNA". RNAcentral also lists the same sequence under 4 other names. Lineage: Eukaryota; Perkinsozoa; Perkinsida; Perkinsidae. The record is from RNAcentral.
AGAAGGCCUGAUGUGUGUGAGAUU